Molecule: long non-coding RNA, 323 nt
Organism: Patiria miniata (bat star)
Lineage: Eukaryota; Metazoa; Echinodermata; Asteroidea; Valvatida; Asterinidae
Exons: 4
Source: RefSeq, a predicted model, not a curated record
UGGCGGUAGGCUAGGCCUGUCCACCAAGCAUGUUUUGUCAGUUGACAGAGUUUGAAGGUUCUACCAAGGAUGUCAAGUGUGGAGCACAUACAGGAUGCAGAGCACAGUGAUGACGUAUCACCAUGGCAACACGUAUCGCUCAAGAUCACUUGAAUGAGAUUGUACCUGACACCGUUAAUUGUAAAGAGCGCCACCUGUUGUUUGGUUAUCGAUCAACAUUAUGCAGCAGAUAAUGCAGCGGUAGGCUAUAUAGGCCUGUACGUCAGCUUUGAAAAUGGAGUUGAGGCCAGACAGACAGGGGGCAUAGGACUGCAUAUUUGCUC